RNAcentral lists this ribosomal RNA (220 nucleotides) under Vibrio cholerae. Its description in RNAcentral is "partial 16S ribosomal RNA". It matches the Rfam family "Bacterial small subunit ribosomal RNA", at positions 1 to 217 of the family's 1533-position model. Lineage: Bacteria; Pseudomonadati; Pseudomonadota; Gammaproteobacteria; Vibrionales; Vibrionaceae. The record is from RNAcentral.
UAAUUGAAGAGUUUGAUCAUGGCUCAGAUUGAACGCUGGCGGCAGGCCUAACACAUGCAAGUCGAGCGGCAGCACAGAGGAACUUGUUCCUUGGGUGGCGAGCGGCGGACGGGUGAGUAAUGCCUGGGAAAUUGCCCGGUAGAGGGGGAUAACCAUUGGAAACGAUGGCUAAUACCGCAUAACCUCGCAAGAGCAAAGCAGGGGACCUUCGGGCCUUGCG